This 492-nucleotide ribosomal RNA is filed under the name uncultured bacterium. RNAcentral's name for it is "partial 16S ribosomal RNA". It matches the Rfam family "Bacterial small subunit ribosomal RNA", at positions 28 to 507 of the family's 1533-position model. The record is from RNAcentral.
GAUGAACGCUAGCUACAGGCUUAACACAUGCAAGUCGAGGGGAAACGACAUCGAAAGCUUGCUUUUGAUGGGCGUCGACCGGCGCACGGGUGAGUAACGCGUAUCCAUCCUGCCCACCACUUGGGGAUAACAUUGCGAAAGUAAGACUAAUACCCAAUGAUAUCUCUAGAAGACAUCUGAAAGUGAUUAAAGAUUUAUCGGUGAUGGAUGGGGAUGCGUCUGAUUAGCUUGUUGGCGGGGUAACGGCCCACCACGGCAACGAUCAGUAGGGGUUCUGAGAGGAAGGUCCCCGACAUUGGAACUGGGACACGGGCCAAACUCCUACGGGAGGCAGCAGUGAGGAAUAUUGGUCAAUGGACGAGAGUCUGAACCAGCCAAGUAGCGUGCAGGAAGACGGCCCUAUGGGUUGUAAACUGCUUUUAGUAGGGAAUAAAGGGAGUCUCGGGAGACUUUUUGCAUGUACCUUAUGAAGAAGGACCGGCUAAUUCCGUG